AGAGUUUGAUCAUGGCUCAGAACGAACGCUGGCGGCAGGCCUCAAACAUGCAAGUCUAGGGGGCGUAGCAAUACGUCACCGGCGGACGGGUGCGUAACACG
RNAcentral lists this ribosomal RNA (101 nucleotides) under uncultured bacterium. RNAcentral's name for it is "partial 16S ribosomal DNA". It matches the Rfam family "Bacterial small subunit ribosomal RNA", at positions 8 to 117 of the family's 1533-position model. The record is from RNAcentral.